This 1322-nucleotide ribosomal RNA is filed under the name Triticum aestivum (bread wheat). RNAcentral describes it as "partial small subunit ribosomal RNA". Lineage: Eukaryota; Viridiplantae; Streptophyta; Magnoliopsida; Poales; Poaceae. The record is from RNAcentral.
CUGGCCUCACAUCGCCGCAGCACUUGUUCUUCCACCUCCAGCCUAGCGCAUGCACCAGCAAUGGGUGUGGCCGAUGCUGUAAACAAGAUGGCCACCGGCGGAUUUGGCCGCCAAGGUGCGGCAGCCGUUGGGGCGUCAGAGCUGCAACCACAUCACCGGAGAUGCUACCACUGGUGGUUGUGGGUGCUAAAACCCCUUGUCGGUGGAGCUGCAUCCAUCGGCGUCUGGCGAUGGAGAGCUACAACUGUUCACUCGGCGCAGCCCGGCAGUGGCCGUCGCAUGUCUCUAACCAUGGCAUGGCUCGAGUUUUUUUUGCUGGAACCAUCUCUAAAUUUUGCUACUAGUGUCUUCGGUUUUUGUUGGAUCCAACCUAGAUUCUGCUCGCAUGUUUGGUUUUGCUGGAACCAGUGUACUAAUUUGUUACCACCGUCUUCGUAUUUUGUUGGAACCAAGUAAAUUUUGCUGCCAUGUUUUUUGCUGGAAUCAUUUUUGUACCACGUUUACUACAACGGUUUUUGGUUUUGCUACUGUCAGCACUUUCGUUUGUUACAUCCUUUUCGAUGAGGUUGCCGAGACCCCUUACUGUGUGUUUUGCUACAGCCUCGAGCUGGACUUGAGGUUGUUUUUGUUGCAACCAGAACUUAGGUUGUUUUUGUUGCAACCGGCAAUCACAAAAGGUACAACCGGUGAUCGAUUUUGCGCCAAUGGCGAUGGGGGCGCCACCGACAAGCUAUAUUUGCUGGAACCAACACAAUUUUUUGCUACAACUGGAGGACAUUUUUGUUGCCACAAGCAAACCCAAAGGAAAGUACUUUUUCACGAGCUCGUCGCCAGGAUGCCAGGACCGGUAACCGGUGCUGCGGGCGUCCUGCCGAAGCUGCCACUACCAGUGAAGGAGCUACAACUGCGGGCGACCGUUGCUGCAUGCGUGGAUCCAGUGAGAAAGAGACGGGUAACUGGACAACAAGGCCGGCGACCGGCGGCGAGCUAUUGCCGUCGUGGGGUGGGUACAGCCACGACUCCCAUGCGUGACUGGUGGCUGGAUUUGAGAUGGGGGGAGAAAGACGACCUGCUGUCUGCGGGGAAUCUAAGAUGCGGGAGAAAGAAGACGACCUAUCAAGGGAUUAGACGGUUAGAAUUAGUUUAAUCGGACAGUGCAUGGUCGACCGGCUCAAACUCAAAUUUGGGCCGGUGCGCUGGCGCCCAUCAUUGCCCAAUGAAAAAAUUGCUAUAUAAUUACAACUGCUCCUAUAGUGCUUGAUGGUCAAACUGUUUAUUUGUGAGUUUGCAAUUUUUUCACUAAUUUUAUUGUGCAAAACGAG